UCAUUAAGAUCUAAUUGCCCCAAGAAUCACAAUUUCAGACAUUUUGGUGAUUUGGGGAAUGGGAAGGAUGCCAAUUUCAUUUUACAUUCUUUGAAGUCAAUGUUACAACCAAAGGCAAGACAGUGUGUUAUUGUCAAGGUGAACAAUAAAGAUGUCGAAGAGAAUUGCAGCUCCAGAUUUGCCCAUGAGGACAAUAAGAUUAUUUCUAGUCCAUCUCAAAGGAAAGAAAGAAGUCAACUGAAGGCAUUGGAAUCAUAUUUUUCUAAACUCAAUACCAGUCAGCAGCUAUGCUCUUUCUCUGAAAAGAACAAACACAAAAAUGGCCUAUCAUCCUCAUAUGAAGUUGACAUUGCUGAUGAUAAUGCCAAUUUGAGGAACAGGGCAGACUCGUUGCGGGUACAGUUUGACAGAGGAAACUCAGGUAAAGUCACUUGACUUGGCAAUUAGCACAGAUGUAUUGUCACCAAAACUUAGUUAUUAAAAAGAACUUUGUUGCUUUAGGUACUAAGAGUUAUCGCAACACUUCCAUUGAAGAUUACAAGGAGUACUUGAUAUUUGAUGAAAAGAGUUUCCUGGACAUGCAUACAGAUGAUCAAAUGUCUGGUUUCUGUUUGACGUAAGUAUGUUUUCUUACUAAUUACAGUAUUC
This 648-nucleotide long non-coding RNA is filed under the name Panicum hallii. RNAcentral's name for it is "long non-coding RNA (PHAL_LNC000925)". The record is from RNAcentral. Lineage: Eukaryota; Viridiplantae; Streptophyta; Magnoliopsida; Poales; Poaceae.